Molecule: long non-coding RNA, 8325 nt
Filed under: Nicotiana benthamiana
Lineage: Eukaryota; Viridiplantae; Streptophyta; Magnoliopsida; Solanales; Solanaceae
Description: long non-coding RNA (NBEN_LNC031872)
Source: RNAcentral
AAAAAUUGAAUUAUUAAAAAGAAAAAUGAGAAAAAGCAGCAGCACCUUCACUUUGGCCACUGCAAGCUCGAACCCGGUUCCAAUGCCGCUGGGCUGUGGCACUAUGGCUCAAGGUACUUUCUAAUUUCCUUUAUUUCAAGCGUUUUCUUAUUUUUUUGUAUUCCACAAGCGUUAGCAACUUAGGUGAAAUGAACGAAUAGGAGGUUGUGCCCGUUUCUCUGUGUGUUCGUGUGGUUUUGGAGAGUAGUAGCUUUAUUUGUUUAGAGGACUUAGAGGUCGUUUGGUUUGAAAGCAAGUUAUGCUGGUAUUAGUUUUUGUUGUUGUUUACUGCUUCCAACAUCUGACAGGUCUAAGUUACCGCGAUGCUAUUUUUAAUCUCGGGAUAACUUAUCCGACUAUUAAUAAACAAACAAGGGAUAGGGCGGUACUAAAUUUUUAUCCUAGUAUUAUUUUUGCUUAUCUAUCACACCAAACAACCCCGUUAGAGUCUUCUGUAUAGAUCAUUUGCUCUGGUUUUGUUCAAAUUUGGUUUCGGUGGACAAUGGACAAUUGAGUUGUGAAGAGGAAAGUUAUAAAAGACUUCGUCUAGACGUUAAGGCUAAUGCGUAAUAGAUAUUUUUAGUUGGACUAAGCUUAGGCGUGACACCAUGAUGAUUGAGGUAGACUAUCAAUCACCUGUAUUAGAUCCAAUAACUGAUAGGAGUCUUUUAAGUUUGUUUGAAGUUGUAUGACAGUGUUGUGAUAGGUGUAAGAUUUAGAUAAUCUCUAUUUUGUCCUAAUGACCAAUAAUUGAGUGGUAGAAUGAGAUGGAUCAAAACGUGUUAUGAACUCAACAAACUCAACACAUGCGGGGGGAAAGAUACCUUGAUUAAACUUCCAAAUAAACUAAUUACAAUGGAAAUGCAAAGUAUAGAGUCAUAAACUAAGGAAAUAGUAACAGAAAGAAAGCAGACAAGGAGACAGAGCUAUAGAGAGAAAUGGACGAGGGAGAGAGAGACCAGGAGAGGGGAAUUCCUCACAAUAAUUUGCAUAACCUCCUUGCUAACCACUAUUCCCUUUUAACCGAUUCCUGACAGCACCUCUUGGGCCUGGAUCCCAAAUUAACUUUCUUAAAGGUCUUCUAGUCCUCUGGCUUCUUCUCGGCCGAAUAGCUUUUUUAGCCCAAUAUUGGGUUGGGGCUGAUUCAGAACAAUAUUCCAGUCCUCAAUUAAAAAGAAACCAGCAGUUCCAUAUGUACUAGCAACACUAGUGCGGGUAAUGUUGUUCACUGAAGCGACAUCAAUGACAAGCACAAAACUUGGAAUAUAUGUCGCUUUGACGAGCUCAUCUCUAUCACAAGUAGAAAGGAAAACAAGUACUGCCCCCAUAACAAGGGCAAGUUGUGCCACUAGAAGCUCUAGCAAAACAAAUGCAGCAAAUGGUAACGAUUUUUCUCAAUGAGGGCCACAACGACUUUUUGCUAUCAUAUGUGGACUGUUCAGAAUCGCUCUUAGCUUAAUGGAUAUAGAGGAUUCAUAUAGCCGACCUAAGCUAGUGUACGAGUGAGGCGUAAUUGUUUUUUUACCUUGCCCAGCCGUCAAUACAGGUCUUAGACUAAAGAUCUUCUGAAAUUCCUGCUUACUUAUUAGUAGAACUUUUACAUUGCUGAAACCCUGCAAGUUAUAACUAGCUGCCCAAAUUUGCAUGAUAAUAUGCUACUAAUUUUAAGCUAGCAAUCAUUACAUAAUUUUAACCUUCCCAUGGUGAAUUACUACAUAGUUGCAAGCCUAUGCCCUUUGGCUUCUGCAAACACACGUGCGACACUUCUUCUGUACUAUCUGGCAAUUUCCUGUGCUAAGUGAAAAUGGUCUUGUCAAACUGAAAUCUAUAUUCAAGACACAUACUGAAAUGGUCUGAGACUUUACUUAAAGCAACAACACCUGAUAUUUUCUUCUCUUUCAUAAUACUCCUCAAUAAAAAGAAAGCUUAGUAGGAAGCAGCUGAUUCUUGUGUCUCAUGCUUUUCAUGGGUACAUGCAUGUAGACUCUAGGACAAUUGAAUUGUGAGCUCAACAUUGUGCAAAAUAAGCCUCGUAAUCCUAUGAUACAAGAUUAAAUGCUUCAAAGUGAAGAUUAGGGUUAUUACGAUAUUACUGUUUAAAUUCUCCGUAAGAAGUAAUAUACGGGCAACUUUCUCUUUGAUGGACUAGAUGUUUUUCUUGCUACUUGAUGCUUGUUGUAAUAUCUUCUAUCACUAGUUCCCAAUUUCUCACACAAUAUAAGUAACUCCUGCUUUGGUUAAGCUGCAAGAUUUUGGCGUUUUGAAUUGUAGUUCAUAUUGACUAGUAGGUUCCCUUGCAAGCAUGUACUUUCAGAACUAGAAGUUGAGGUCCAUGUUGUUGUUUUUAUUUUAUAUAUCACAAUAAGAUAAUAAUUGUAUCAAUGUAGUAGGAAAUCUUUAGGUAUAGAAGUGGUGUACAAAAAGUAGAGAACCUGUACAAAACAUGGUUCUCUAUGAAAGACAUACCAUCUGUACUAACUAGAACCUCAAUGGUGUACAAAAACUUUACAAGGAACAAAAGACAAAUUCUUACAUAUAUACAGCAGUUGAGUAUUUGGACAAAGCGAGUAGUUCAGUCAAUACAAUACAGAAAUUCCUUGCCAAAUCAAUAUACCGUAAGGUUGGGGCCUCUUACGUAUUGGAAGUUGCUAAAGUGUUCGCAUGUUUUCUUGCAUGUCCAUAUUCCCAUUUUGUUUGCAUAUGAUUCUAAUAGUCCAGUUUCAAUUUCAACAGUUUCUGCUGCAUUAAGUUCCUACAAAGAAGGCUUCCAUCAGUUAAUUUUUGGUGACAGUGAGUACAUCAUGCAAAUGAAGCAGUCCAAUCUACUGAGUCGACUAUUUUAAACUACAAUUCUAAGGCAUUUGUUCUUUGUCCUUAGUUUAUUCAUGCGAUACAUGUUAUUCUGAACCAACAGCAGGAAAGGUUUGGUUCCUACUCUGCUCGAUGGGCAAAUUUUUGAGUCUGGAUUUACUUCGUUUUGUUCGAAUAUGCUAACCAACACCUGGACAAAUGCUAAACUGUCUGAUUUCCAGUUACUAAAAUCGAAGUGGGCUGGUAAUCUGGGCCUAUUUGGUCUAGGAAAAAAGAACUCUUCCAUACCUAUAUUUCACUUUUCUAAGUAUCCAUUGCUUUCCUAGAUUGCAUAAAUCAACCAAGUUUAGACUGUCUGUCCAACCCAUGUCAUGUCCACUUGGCUCCGGAAUUCUUUCCACUGGGUUUCUGGUUUCAUAUAUCUCAGUUUGUUGAGUUCAUGAACAUGUAUGUAUCGUUUCAUUAAUAAUUUUAUCAAAGUUUUACAUACAAUGUGGCUAUAUGUGUACUCCUAAUAGAGCAGAAUGGAAACUGCUAUUACUUUUUGGACACUGGCAUUCUCCUGUCAACCGUAAUCCGAAAAGACUGACCUCAAUAAUGUUCGCAAUCAUACCUUAGUUCAGGAUCAACAUACUUGUAUGUAGGAGGAGCUACUGCCUUCCUUCUAAUCGGUGCGAAGAGAAAAGGAAACAAUAAAAGUUCACUUUCAUUGGUGCUUCCCCCUACCACGUAUAUUGGAGCGAGAGCAGGUAAUAGCUUCCUAAACAGGAUUGAGGUAGAGGCCUUUCCGCGCGAAGCAAGAGGAAAUAGGUAUAGGCUGGAUCAAUAAAAGAAAGAUAAGAAAGUUCCGAAAUAGUAUUUUAGUAAAGAAGAGAGGCAUUCUGGGCCAACUACUACGAGUACAUGCCUAUCUAGUGCAGUGGCUUGGAAGCAAGCUACCUUGACCAUCUUCCGAAGUUCUAAAUAAUUUAUUGAUCAAAGGUUGUAAGGGCGGACUGCUUUACAUUCUGCCACACCACAGUGACCUCGAAGUGAUCUUCUUCUAAUUGCGGGACGAAAUUUGACAGCCAAUUGCUGGCUCUGAGUAACUAGCCCAGCAAUAAGCUCAAGUCUUCCAUUACAUAAGGGGUCGGUCUUGCAUGCGAGCCGAAUGACGUAGGUGCACAAGAGUACUUUGUGCCACAACCAUCUCCUUUUUAUAGGUUCUACGGACCGAUGCCUGCUGCUUCAUCUGGGAGAAAAGAGUUUAUAUGAGUAGAGUGAGUAUUUUGCCAAAUGCAACUUGUCUUCUUAGUCUUUCAUUUAUGCAUGCUUGCCUUGCUCUGCUUGUGGUCUCUUACAAUAUUAUGCCCUCUUGCUUGGUCAAGUAUUAGUGCAGAUAUAAACAUAUCAGUCCUUGGUGGUACAAUUCUACUUGCAUCUUAAGUGGUCUACCAACAUUGGUUCGGUUAAGCACAUUUGCCUUUUAAUGCAGAUGUAGCUUUAAAAGUGCACUUCAGGAGUCUCAGCACAAAUGAAAAUUCACGAUUUUGAAAAUACAAGUCGAGCACAGAACAACUUAACAAGUAUGUAUGGUUGUCCAUCCUUUAAAUGAUUGCUCAUUCUGAUAUGAAUCCAGUUAGAAAGGGAACUAGAAAUAACUUUUAAGUACAAAUCAAGUUGAGCUUGUAUAUUUUUAGGUGUUGAUAAGAGAAUUUUCAGAAGGACAACUUGCUUUUUGCUCCUCAAGUUAUUGCUUGAUUUCAAUUUCCCUGUUUCUUUCAGUAAUAUAAUUGACCAAUCUUUAGCAAUCCCAUAAGUUACAGAGUCUUCCAUCCCCUUCUUCUUUUGUCUAUCCCUCAUAUCCUUGAUAAUCCUUCUUCAUACCUUGUAACCCCUUAUGUACUUGAUCACGCCUAAUAUGCCUUAUAAAAAGGAUUAUGCGGUCGUUGUAAAUAUAAUCCAGUUUACAAGUUCGGAGUCGAAUCCCACAGAGAAUUAAGGCUUAGCAAUAUUGCUAAGAAGACGAGCUCGAAUAAUUCAUAAGUUAUAAAUAUUAAGAUUCUUAUAUCUAAUUAACUAAAUAAUUAAAUUAGUAGAUUAACAACUAAAGAUACUACAGGUUGGAGAAAAGAUUUAGCAGGUCUAGAGUUAUGAUUUUUCCAAUUAUCGGAAUCCUUUCCGCUGCGUUUUUAUAAAUUUGCUUAAGUUUUCUCUAUCGAUCAUGAGCACUAUGACUGUCGUAACUCUCUCCCGAGUAGUUACAACAAUAUACUAGACAUAUUCUUCCGAAUUACGCUAGCUAGCUUUAAUUGCAGCUCACUUAGAUCGCAUCCAAGGUUUCGUUAUCCCUAAUCUCACCUUUAAACCCUUCGUAUUGAUUUCUCAUAUACGUUAGAAGUGAUGAUGUUUAACAACCACCUAAAUAUACAUUCUCUCCCGAGUAAUGCACACUAAAUAGGAACAUCUAAUUGAGGGCCCUUCAAUAAAUAGCAAUACGCAUAUAGUUAAACAAAUAGAGAUAAUACUACGGCAAAUCUAUAUUAACAUAACGAGAAAAUCAUCCUUCGACAGGUUCCAUCAAAACCUUAGAUAACAAAUUAGCUAUUCAUAAUAGUAUGCAUAACUACAAUACCAGAAUUCAUAACCAAUAAUGAAAAUAGGAAGAAAGAAGAGAAAAACUCGUAGAAGAAUUCUCUGCCUUGCUUCUAGUGUGUUCUUGCCUUCUUAGGUGCAAUCUCCGGUCUCCACGACAGCUCCGUGCUCUUCCUAGGUCUAAAUUAUGUCAAAAGUAUGUCCAACUCCUUCAAAAUAGCGUUUUUACAUGUAUUUAUACCAAAUAGGGUCGGGCCCAAACGAAACAGUUUUUCCUGCGCGAAAUAGGACUCUGGCUCUGUAAAAUUUGCACAGGCACGCUGCAUUGGACGAUGCACUGUGCGGCGCGGUAGUGGGGAAGUUCAGAGAGUUGUUUUCUGACAAACUGUUGGAAAAUUGCACAGGUGUGACGCACUGUGCGGCGCGGUAGUAGGAAUUCGCGAAAAUGCAAAACAUGAAAGUUGUAGCCUUUUCAAAUAGCUUUCCAACGAUAUAUUGUGGAGUCCAAACGGUGUUCUGAGCGAAAAGUUAUGUGCAUUUUACUAGACAAUGUGUUGUAUGCCCACUCGAUUCUCCGUUUCGUUCUUAUCUAUCAUCCGCUGAUCCCCGAACACGAUCCCGAUUUGAUUCCUUAGGCUUUUACUCAAACUGUAAAGAUCCAAAUCUCUUGAAUUCACUCCAUAAUAUCUACAUAGCUCGGAACCACUCCUACAACGCAUAAAAUACACAAUUAGUGCAAAACACUAGCGAUUAAAGCUCAAACUCAAUUAAAGUGUAGUACAUUAGAGUGUAAUAAGAGACUAAAAUACGUAACUAUAGCCUAUCAUAAGUACUCCUGAACAUUGCUUCCUACUUCUUGCAACCUUGCCAUUUGCCUCAAAAACUGUUAUUCUCUGCCUUUCCCCUGGUUCAUAAAUGGUACUGCAACAUGUGCAGUAAUUUGGGGCAGAAUUCAUGCAAAGGUUAAGGGUAGUUAACGAUGGGGUUGCAAAGUGCAGGUAAGGUCUUAGAGCCACUUAGCAAUUAUUUGGAUGCCAAUUGCUCACUGAUGAUUACUCAUUUUGUUACUCGGGUUUCACCUCCAUAUUGUUAGUAUUGUGCAUCAACAACAUACCACAUUGUGAUUUUUUCAAUUUAAUUUAUGGUAGUUGCAGAAGCGGGAUUAAUAUAUAUUUCGUGUUUCUCGUAAAGAAAAUCAGGUGAUUAAUAUUAGAAAAUUUAUUCUUAUGCUUAUCAUUUUUUUUAGGAUUUUGGUGCAUAUGUAUUAUUUGUUGAAUCAAACAGUUUUAACUAAUGAAAACUUUGGAGAAACAAAGGCAAAGUAGGGUAUCAACCUGAAUUCACUAAGCAUAAGCUUUACAUAAAUGUGCAAAAUCUGAAAAAUAGUCAAAGAAAAAAGUCACUCAUAUCUGGAAUAUCUUAUCUUUCGCCUGAAUCAGACCCUAAAUACACCGGGACAUCGAUCAAACAAUCCAAAUUAAGUUGGUUGUGGAUCUCGUUAGUCCGUAGUUGAGCAAUAUCUCCAUGUAAUUCUUUUACGUUAAAUAUUUUUAGGAGAGGAUCCAAAUUAAGUUAGUUGCUAAGCUGAUCUGUUCAUUGUUGCAUUAUUUCAGGCUCAUCUCAUAGACCUAAGCAUCCGUUUGAACAUCUCAGCCUUGGAGACUAUUUUUUUAUUUAUGAACAUCUACUGCUGGCUUUAUACAGUUCUUUCUUUCUUAAAAAGCCUCAUGAAAUUCUUGAAUAAUGCUCUAGUUAAGAAUCUCCACAAUGUAGAACUCUCAGCCUUGUUGAAGAUUUGGUGGGUGCCUGUCCUAUUAAAUUCUAUGUGUUUCACAGAUUAUGUCAUUUCUUGAGGAGACUACCAAAUUGCAAGUGGGAGAAUGAAUCAAUUAACUUCCUGACUAGUAUUGUCGGCAUUUGGUAAUGAAUAUAACGUCGACUAUCCUUUUCUUUUAUGACUUGGACUUCUACUAUAUGGAAAGACAUGUAUAUUAUGGUGAUUGGUGUAAAGUUGUGUUGUUUUUCAAAAUCCCGUUUGUGCUUAUUGCGCAUACGUAGGUAUAUUUACGUGUCUACAUUGGACUAUUUUCUAAGGACAGAAGUUUAUUUGUACUCAUUCUGGCAUACCAUCUGCUCCUAAAUUUGCAAAAAAGACUGCGACAACCUUUGUGAAUACAUGUCAACUGUUAACUAAAAUCAACAUUCCUGAAAUAGUGCAUGCUCAAAGAAUGGUGAUAUUUAAAUCUUUUGUUUAUUUAUCUACUUGUUAAUUUGUGUAUGGUGAAUGGUGAUUGAAACAAUAUAAUCAUCCUAAAGUUUUAUUUGCAUCUCCAUGUUAUGGGUGAACUCUCGUGUACAAUAAAAGAACGAGAAUAUAGAUGCUAAAUUCAGCAGAGUGGCGCUCAAGAUUUAUGUUGUCUGAUGUAUUUGAAGGGGGAGUUGCAGGCAAUCUUUCCUCAGCUUACAUAGUAUCUCAUCAUCUUGUAUGUGGAAGACACUAGACAUCUCAGCGGAGAGAAGACGACCUGGAAUUUGUAGGGUAAAUAUUUUGUUCUACUCACUUCAUAAUUUGAGUUUGAUAAGUCCUUUUUUCGCCGUUUGAAAUUCAAGUCAUGUAAGUCUCUGAAUAUGCAGACAGUUUGUCAAGAAAAUAUUCAAGUGCUUCAUGACUAUUGCUCCUUGUAAGUACCCAGAUAAUGUAGUAUGCUUUGGAGUCUCCAACAUCAGCCUGUCGUCAUUAACUCUGAUGCUUAGUUCAAUUAUGUUUUUAUAGACUAAACUGAAAAGCAAAUUAUGGAUUUGCAUAAUGUUGCUUGGACAUGGUUUACAGGUCUAAAUAUAAUAAAUAUUCUCAAUUCUUUGUUGGAUUAAAUCUUUUAGUUUUUGCCCCAUGUGGAUACU